Molecule: long non-coding RNA, 323 nt
Organism: Capsella rubella
Lineage: Eukaryota; Viridiplantae; Streptophyta; Magnoliopsida; Brassicales; Brassicaceae
Exons: 4
Source: RefSeq, a predicted model, not a curated record
AGAGCAGUGGAGCACACUAGUCCCGUUGGUCGACGCUCUAAACUAAAAGUCUUCCCUGCGAAAUCGGGUAGUCCCUUCAUCUACUUCUAAUGGGAAGGGUUAAGCUGAUGAUGAUAAAGAUGUUGGAAAGCAGUAGCAACAGGAAUCGAGCUAUUGAGGGUCUGCCUAACCAUUUAGCGUUUUUUCCAAGCUCAGGUUAUGGAGUGUCACAGGAGACUGAGGUGUAACUUCUGACCUUCCGUUUUUAAGUAACUAUUAGAUACUUGGAUGGUUAUUAGAACCGGUUAUUUCUGGUUAAGAUCUUGGUUUAGCUCAGUAUUAGA